GACAUAGGUUGCGAACGUUAUCCGGAAUUAUUGGGCGUAAAGGAUGCGUAGAUGGUUUGAUAAGUUAUCAGUGGCAAAUCGAGGCUCAACCUCGUGGAAGCUGGUAAUACUGUCAUACUUGAGUGCAGGAGAAGUUAACGGAACUCUAUAUGGAGCGGUAAAAUGUGACGAUAUAUGGAAGAACACCAAUAAGGCGAAAGCAGUUAACUAUUCUGUUACUGACAUUGAGGCAUGAAAGCGUGGGGAGCAAAACGG
This 255-nucleotide ribosomal RNA is filed under the name uncultured bacterium. RNAcentral describes it as "partial 16S ribosomal RNA". It matches the Rfam family "Bacterial small subunit ribosomal RNA", at positions 524 to 776 of the family's 1533-position model. The record is from RNAcentral.